CUCACCAUGGUGUAGUUGGUUAUCACGUCGGGCUGUAAUGGAUCGCAUCCGUAAUUACCUGAAGGUCACCGGCUCGACUCCGGUUGGUGAGA
Aulographum hederae CBS 113979 is the source of this 92-nucleotide non-coding RNA. NCBI's taxonomy places the organism in Eukaryota, Fungi, Ascomycota, Dothideomycetes, Aulographales, Aulographaceae. The record is from the annotation of a GenBank genome assembly.